CUUAAGCAUAUCAAUAAGCGGAGGAAAAGAAACCAACAGGGAUUACCUCAGUAACGGCGAGUGAAGCGGUAACAGCUCAAAUUUGAAAGCUGGCUCUUUUAGGGUCCGCGUUGUAAUUUGUAGAAGAUGCUUCGGGUGUGGCCCCGGUCUAAGUUCCUUGGAACAGGACGUCAUAGAGGGUGAGAAUCCCGUAUGUGACUGGGUGCUUUCGCUCAUGUGAAGCUCUUUCGACGAGUCGAGUUGUUUGGGAAUGCAGCUCAAAAUGGGUGGUAAAUUUCAUCUAAAGCUAAAUAUUGGCCAGAGACCGAUAGCGCACAAGUAGAGUGAUCGAAAGAUGAAAAGCACUUUGGAAAGAGAGUUAAACAGUACGUGAAAUUGUUGAAAGGGAAGCGCUUGCAACCAGACUUGCGCGCUGAUGAUCAUCCGGGCUUCUGUCCGGUGCACUCGUCUGCGCUCAGGCCAGCAUCGGUUUCGGUGGUGGGAUAAAGGCCUUGGGAAUGUGGCUCCUCUCGGGGAGUGUUAUAGCCCUCGGUGCAAUGCCGCCUACUGGGACCGAGGACCGCGCUUCGGCUAGGAUGCUGGCGUAAUGGUUGUAAGCGACCCGUCUUGAAACACGGACCAAGGAGUCUAACAUCUAUGCGAGUGUUUGGGUGUCAAACCCAUACGCGUAAUGAAAGUGAACGGAGGUGAGAACCCUUAAGGGUGCAUCAUCGACCGAUCCUGAUGUCUUCGGAUGGAUUUGAGUAAGAGCAUAGCUGUUGGGACCCGAAAGAUGGUGAACUAUGCGUGAAUAGGGUGAAGCCAGAGGAAACUCUGGUGGAGGCUCGCAGCGGUUCUGACGUGCAAAUCGAUCGUCAAAUUUGCGUAUAGGGGCGAAAGACUAAUCGAACCAUCUAGUAGCUGGUUCCUGCCG
Molecule: ribosomal RNA, 913 nt
Filed under: Collembolispora aristata
Lineage: Eukaryota; Fungi; Ascomycota; Leotiomycetes; Helotiales
Description: eukaryotic LSU rRNA
Rfam family: Eukaryotic large subunit ribosomal RNA
Source: RNAcentral